UUUUUUUUUUUUUUUUUUUUUUUUUUUUUUGUCUUUUUUGGGACCGCACCCAUGGCAUAGGCAGGUUCCCAGGCUAGGGGUUCAAUCAGAGCUGUAGCUGUCGGCCUACACCACAGCCACACCAAUGUGGGAUCUGAGCCUCCUCUGCAACCUACACCACAGCUUAUGGCAACGCCAGAUCCUUAACCCACUGAGCGAGGCCAGGGAUCAAACCAAUGUCCUCAUGGAUACUAGUCGGGUUCGUUAACCACUGAGUCACGUUGGGAACUCCCGCCAUCUAGAAAUUCUUUUUUUUUUUCUUUCUUUCUUUUUUUUUUUUUUUUUUUUUUUUUGUCUUUUCUAGGGCUGCUCCCAUGGCAUAUGAAGUUCCCAGGCUAGGGGUCAAACUGGAGCUGCAGCUGCCAGCCUGCACCACGGCCACAGCCACACCAGAUCCAAAUUACAUCCGCGACCUACACCGCAGCUUGUGCAAUGCUGGAUCCUUCCCCCACUAAGUGAGGCCAGGGAUCAAACCCACAUCUUCACGGACACUGUGCUGGGUUCUUAACGCACUGAACCACAACGGGAACUCCAAAGCUAUUUUUAAAGUAUAGGUCGAGAAAAUACUUCUGUGUCAUUUUCUUUUUUUUGGCCAUGCCCUCCCCCCCAUGCAGAAAUUCCUGGACCAGGGAUUGAACCCCAGUUACAGCAGCAACCAAAGUCACUGCAGUGACACUUGCUGGAUCCUUAGCCCACUGAGCCACAAGAGAUCUCCUGUGUCAUUUUUGGUACAACUAGAUUGUACUUAUCUCUCCAGUACAACACAUGAUCUCUGUUAAAGGGAAUGGGGUUCAAGGACACCAGCAUGUGGUACCUGAUGCCUGGGUGUACGAGGAAAGGAAGAUUAACCCCAGGUAGACCUGUUCACGUGUCUCUUUCUCGACCAUAAGAAAAUGACGCCUUGUUUGGCUAGAGAAUGAGGAUAACUUCUCCCCCUUACCAGCCAAGAGACCUCUUGCGAUCAGUGAGAAUCCAAGGCAAGAGUUAGUCUAGUCCCAGUCAAGUAGCAUGGGCUUUCUCAUCAACUUUGGGCUUCAAUAUAUCUAUUGCUACAUCUGUUUGUUUAAUCCCUUCCUGCAGGGUUGAAGGAAGCGGUACAUCUCAUCUCAAAGUUAAAGCCUACACCUGUGCCCUCCAUCCCACACACACUUUUUUUUUCUUGCUUUUCAAAUAUUUUCCAUUCCCCUGGUCUCUUCUUCCUCUUUAUUUACCUCUCUAAAUAGUUGCAACAUAAAUAAAACCUCCCUAAUUUAUCCUAUUUUGAGUGUUCCAGCUGUUUUUUUUUAU
RNAcentral lists this long non-coding RNA (1326 nucleotides) under Sus scrofa (pig). Its description in RNAcentral is "lncRNA (ENSSSCG00005031772.1)". Lineage: Eukaryota; Metazoa; Chordata; Mammalia; Artiodactyla; Suidae. The record is from RNAcentral.